ACUCCUACGGGAGGCAGCAGUGGGGAAUAUUGCACAAUGGGGGAAACCCUGAUGCAGCCAUGCCGCGUGUGUGAAGAAGGCCUUGGGUUGUAAAGCACUUUCAGUAGGGAGGAAGGUAGUGUAGUUAACACCUGCAUUAUUUGUACGUUACCUACAGAAGAAGCACCGGCUAACUCCGUGCCAGCAGCCGCGGUAAUACGGAGGGUGCGAGCGUUAAUCGGAAUUACUGGGCGUAAAGCGCAUGCAGGCGGCCUGUUAAGUCAGAUGUGAAAGCCCGGGGCUUAACCUCGGAAUUGCAUUUGAAACUGGCAGGCUAGAGUCUUGUAGAGGGGGUAGGAAUUUCAGGUGUAGCGGUGAAAUGCGUAGAG
Molecule: ribosomal RNA, 368 nt
Filed under: uncultured bacterium
Lineage: Bacteria
Description: bacterial SSU rRNA
Rfam family: Bacterial small subunit ribosomal RNA
Source: RNAcentral